CGGGGGAGAUUGCUUCGGUGAUUGACCUAGCGGCGGACNGNNGAGUAAUACUUAGGAAUCUGCCUAUUAAUGGGGGACAACAUCUCGAAAGGGAUGCUAAUACCGCAUACGCCCUACGGGGGAAAGCAGGGGAUCACUUGUGACCUUGCGUUAAUAGAUGAGCCUAAGUCGGAUUAGCUAGUUGGUGGGGUAAAGGCCUACCAAGGCGACGAUCUGUAGCGGGUCUGAGAGGAUGAUCCGCCACACUGGGACUGAGACACGGCCCAGACUCCUACGGGAGGCAGCAGUGGGGAAUAUUGGACAAUGGGGGGAACCCUGAUCCAGCCAUGCCGCGUGUGUGAAGAAGGCCUUAUGGUUGUAAAGCACUUUAAGCGAGGAGGAGGCUCUCNUGGUUAAUACCCANGAUGAGUGGACGUUACUCGCAGAAUAAGCACCGGCUAACUCUGUGCCAGCAGCCGCGGUAAUACAGAGGGUGCGAGCGUUAAUCGGAUUUACUGGGCGUAAAGCGUGCGUAGGCGGCUUUUUAAGUCGGAUGUGAAAUCCCCGAGCUUAACUUGGGAAUUGCAUUCGAUACUGGGAAGCUAGAGUAUGGGAGAGGAUGGUAGAAUUCCAGGUGUAGCGGUGAAAUGCGUAGAGAUCUGGAGGAAUACCGAUGGCGAAGGCAGCCAUCUGGCCUAAUACUGACGCUGAGGUACGAAAGCAUGGGGAGCAAACAGGAUUAGAUACCCUGGUAGUCCAUGCCGUAAACGAUGUCUACUAGCCGUUGGGGCCUUUGAGGCUUUAGUGGCGCAGCUAACGCGAUAAGUAGACCGCCUGGGGAGUACGGUCGCAAGACUAAAACUCAAAUGAAUUGACGGGGGCCCGCACAAGCGGUGGAGCAUGUGGUUUAAUUCGAUGCAACGCGAAGAACCUUACCUGGUCUUGACA
Molecule: ribosomal RNA, 927 nt
Filed under: bacterium 1158
Lineage: Bacteria
Description: bacterial SSU rRNA
Rfam family: Bacterial small subunit ribosomal RNA
Source: RNAcentral